This 429-nucleotide ribosomal RNA is filed under the name uncultured bacterium. RNAcentral describes it as "bacterial SSU rRNA". It matches the Rfam family "Bacterial small subunit ribosomal RNA", at positions 355 to 776 of the family's 1533-position model. The record is from RNAcentral.
UGAGGAAUCUUGUACAAUGGGCGAAAGCCUGAUACAGCGACGCCGCGUGGAGGAUGAAGGCCUUCGGGUUGUAAACUCCUGUCAAACGGGAAGAAAGUCUUGUCUCUAAUACAGACGAGAUAUGACGGUACCGUUAAAGGAAGCACCGGCUAACUUCGUGCCAGCAGCCGCGGUAAUACGAAGGGUGCAAGCGUUAUUCGGAUUUACUGGGCGUAAAGGGUGUGUAGGUGGUGUGAUAAGUCUAUUGUUAAAGCUCCCGGCCUAACCGGGAAAAUGCAGUGGAAACUAUUGCGCUAGAGGGUGAGAGAGAGAAGUGGAAUUCUCGGAGUAGCGGUAAAAUGCGUAGAUAUCGAGAGGAACACCGAUGGCGAAGGCAGCUUCUUGGCUCAUUCCUGACACUGAAACACGAAAGCGUGGGGAGCAAACAGG